AUUGAACGCUGGCGGCAGGCCUAACACAUGCAAGUCGAACGAGUGGCGGACGGGUGAGAAAUGUCUGGGAAACUGCCCGAUGGAGGGGUAUAACUAGUAGAAACAGGAGCUAAUACCGCAUACCAUCAGAUGUGCCGAGAUGGGAUUAGCUUGUAGGUGGGGUAACGGCUCACCUAGGCGACGAUCCCUAGAUGGUCUGAGAGGAUGACCAGCCACACUGGAACUGAGACACGGUCCAGACUCCUACGGGAGGCAGCAGUGGGGAAUAUUGCACAAUGGGCGCAAGCCUGAUGCAGCCAUGCCGCGUGUAUGAAGAAGGCCUUCGGGUUGUAAAGUACUUUCAGCGGGGAGGCGUUACUCGCAGAAGAAGCACCGGCUAACUCCGUGCCAGCAGCCGCGGUAAUAC
This 406-nucleotide ribosomal RNA is filed under the name uncultured bacterium. RNAcentral's name for it is "partial 16S ribosomal RNA". It matches the Rfam family "Bacterial small subunit ribosomal RNA", at positions 30 to 526 of the family's 1533-position model. The record is from RNAcentral.